GCGGUCUCGCUGCCCGCGCUGCCUGCUGCCGUUUGCGCGAACUAACUCUCUCCGUUCCCUGCGCCAGAGAGGAAGAACGAGCAGCGGCUACAACAUCCACCGGCCAGCAAAGACAUCUAAAUUCCAGUUUCUGCUCCAAAAGUUAUGUAAGCUUUUCAAACAAAAAGGCUGAGGACAGCCUCUAGCCUCCCUGGAAGAACAUUCCCCUGCUAUAUGGAAAACCAGAGGGAGGAACUGACCCAGUAACACCCGCUUUGCAAGACAGCACCUAGCGAUUGUGCAUGAAGUAUUCCGGGGGGACUUCUCUGUUUUAACUAUUCCAGGCUGCCUAAUAUUUAAAUACCCGCCGAGCCACAGUAAGAGAGACUGAGAGGAAGCAUGGUGAUUCACCUCUGCACUUCUUCCAAAUGUGGCAGUGCAGAGAGCAGGUAGUAGGGUGUCUUCCCAGCAGAUGGAGUCAGGAAGCAAACAAGCUUGCUAAAAAGGUAGCGCCACUCGGCUAAGAAUAGCUUUACUCUUUUGUCUCCCUGCAUGAAGGACGUUUCUGCUAUCAAAUAAAAGGAGCUUUGACAUCUGCUUUUAAAUCUUCUGACUUAUUUCUGAAGGGAAAGUUAGCUCCUAUUGCAGUGGUUCUCAAAUGCUUUUCUUGGAAAAGGCGUUCUGUGCUUCCCAAUUUUUAAAACUGCUAAACUCUGUUACUCACUUUCUCAUACAGCCUGCAGCAAAAUUCAGCCUGUCCUGCUAGAAAUCUGCAUGCAAACGCGGCAGACUGCCUUUCUACCUGCUUCCACAUAGCUAGGAGCCGUGCUGAGGAGUGAGGGAGAGAGAGAAGCAAGGGAACUUAGCACUGAGAAGGAGGCACUGGGCUGAGAACACACUGCCGUUUCCAUGAAGGAGGAACCCAUUGCCAUGUUUUCCAGCAACUGUAUGAAAGGUGCAGAAUUUGAAAUGAAAAUCAAAGCGGUUCCCAGCCGAACCCACAAACUUUUCACAUGAGGCUGUGGAUAGCUGUAUUUCCACAAUCUAGUGUGAAGAGGCCUGCAUUGCAAGCUGUUUGGAGGCACACAAUUUCCGCUCAUGGUCUGUAUAUCUUCCUUAAGUGGCAUGGUGUGCCACACAGGGAUUAUCUGCAGCUUAGUGCCUUCAGGAAAAAAAAAUACUGGAAAUGGAGGAGAUGCAGGAGCUUUCACCCUGGAACAGUUGUCCAGUUAAAUCUCACCAGCUGAACUGUAACUAAAUGUAGUCCAUGAUGGCUGGGUACUCAAAGAGGGCUGCAAAUCACAGAAAAUUUGAGAGAGCUGUGCUUAAAAUUUCUGCUCCCAGUCUGAGGACACAGUAUGAAUUCAAAAGUUAUAGUCUUCAUGUUGUCUUUCUGAACGUGGUGAAUUCCAAGGACCACAUUUAACAUGAUCAGUCUGAAUAUAUAUAAAUCCAAUACAAAUCCUGAUCCUUUGUGCACGUGAACAUCAUCUAUUUGAAUGGAACCUCACUGAAUUCCAUUUACUUGUAUCUGUUUGCAGGCUAGUGGUUUACUUAGAAAGAUUUCAGCAUUAAUGAAUCUUGCUGAGACAUGGAAAUUGGCUAACCACAUCUCUGCAAGAUCUGAGCCUUAGAAGCUGAGUUGGAAAUUAGUCAAUAACUUUUAAUAUCCAAAUAAAGUACUUAAUACUACUUUAUUUCCAUAAUUAUUAAACCAGAAAGAAAAGCUGAAGCAUUUAUGAUUUUGGUUCUUUCUAACGGUAUUGUUAUUUACAAUGAAAAGAGUAUCAGAUGGUAUGUGAUAUAUACUUCAGAUGACCCAAUUCCUUCUAAAGACCCGAAAAUGAAUGUAAAAGUUCCUUCCAAUCCCUUGCAUAUAUAUACAUUCCCUUGUAUAGUUCUCCUCUUCCCAGAAUAACUUUAGCCACACAUCAUCAGUAUCAUGUAUCUUAUUUAGUAACAAUACGCCCAUGAUUUUCAGUGGGCUGAUCUUGUUGCCGUAAAUUCAUCUUACUUUCCAACACAGCCUAUAAGCUGUUGAUGGGAUGUUCUUUCAGCUGUUCACUUAUAGAUUCAAUAAAG
Long non-coding RNA from Dromaius novaehollandiae (emu), 2061 nucleotides. RefSeq lists it as uncharacterized. NCBI's taxonomy places the organism in Eukaryota, Metazoa, Chordata, Aves, Casuariiformes, Dromaiidae. The transcript has 4 exons. The record is from RefSeq and is a predicted model, not a curated record.